GGAUGUAAAAUUCCUUAAUAAAAUGAUUUAUCAACUCUAAUACAAAACUCAACUAAUAUAUUUUAGUUUUCUGAAUUAGAAUUCUCAGUCACUCAUAUAUCCCAAGUUCCUAUAUAUAAUUUAUUCUUAAAAAUUUGAAGGAAAGAAGAUGGGGUGAGCUGAUAGCUCAAUAAAUAAUCAAAAUCCCAUAUUAGUUUGAUCAAAUAA
RNAcentral lists this long non-coding RNA (207 nucleotides) under Carica papaya (papaya). Its description in RNAcentral is "long non-coding RNA (CPAP_LNC010819)". Lineage: Eukaryota; Viridiplantae; Streptophyta; Magnoliopsida; Brassicales; Caricaceae. The record is from RNAcentral.